RNAcentral lists this ribosomal RNA (407 nucleotides) under uncultured bacterium. Its description in RNAcentral is "partial 16S ribosomal RNA". It matches the Rfam family "Bacterial small subunit ribosomal RNA", at positions 30 to 526 of the family's 1533-position model. The record is from RNAcentral.
AUUGAACGCUGGCGGCAGGCCUAACACAUGCAAGUCGAGCGGAGCGGCGGACGGGUGAGUAAUGCCUAGGAAUCUGCCUGGUAGUGGGGGAUAACGUCCGGAAACGGGAGCUAAUACCGCAUACUAUCAGAUUAGCCGUGUUCGGAUUCGCUAGUUGGUAAGGUACAGGCCUACCAAGGCGACGAUCCGUAACUGGUCUGAGAGGAUGGUCAGUCACACUGGAACGGAGACACGGUCCAGACUCCUACGGGAGGCAGCAGUGGGGAAUAUUGGACAAUGGGCGAAAGCCUGAUCCAGCCAUGCCGCGUGUGUGAAGAAGGUCUUCGGAUUGUAAAGCCCUUUAAGUUGGGAGGCGUUACCAACAGAAUAAGCACCGGCUAACUUCGUGCCAGCCGCCGCGGUAAUUC